Non-coding RNA from Podarcis muralis (Common wall lizard), 2898 nucleotides. NCBI's taxonomy places the organism in Eukaryota, Metazoa, Chordata, Lepidosauria, Squamata, Lacertidae. The record is from RefSeq and is a predicted model, not a curated record.
CGUACUUCGCCCUUAACCCAGGAGUGAAGGGGAGGAGACGCCGGCCCGGGAGGGGGGGGACACACACGCCAGAGGGCGGGGUCCAGUCCAGAACUGGAGCGGGAAGCCGGCAGGCGAGCAGAUUUGCAUGUAAUCCAAUAUCCUCCCCCACCCCAAAGCCACCAUUCCUUUGAGUGGACCUGUGCUUAACUCAUGCGGUGAUACAGUUGUCUAUGCAUGCUGUGCCCACUGCCCUUCAACUGAACCAUGGACUACAGUUCAAGAGAUCCAGACAAUAACCAUCUGCCUUACACAGAUGGGAUCAGAUCUACUGCUUCUGGUGAUGGAUCGUAGCUUCAGCAGCAGGCUGGAUUGGUGCCGAGAGUGAACUCAAGCCUCUUCCCCUUCCUCCUGCGCACACGGCGGCAGCCUGGAAACGUUCGGGGGGCACAUGCAGAAUCCACCUUCUCGACUGCUGAAACCGCUAUUGGUGUUGUCCGCUCAGUCCACCAGAGCCUGUCUUCGCAUGCAGGGGAAAUCCCUGACUCACUGAGGAUUUGAGAUCCAUUGGCUAUGCUCACCUGGAUGUAGCUGGCCAGUUGAAGCCGUUCCUGGAGUGUGGCUGCUGACACAUGCUGACAGCUUCUUGGACCCACAGGUGGGAGCUGUGUAUAGGGUGGAGAUCAAAGAUGGACAAACUACCCCAGAUGAAGCACAACGUGUCCCCCCUCACAGACCAUUCCAGAUGGAUAGCGUGAUGGGAAUGAAGGAAGUAGAUUUGAACUUUCAAGUAUUUGCAAGCCCUCUUGCAAGAGCCUGCGAUGAAUGAAAGGAGCAGGAUGUUGCUUGCAAGCUGCCAGGUUCAAGGAGAUGACAUGCAGGCAAUACAUGACAUUUAAAGGCUUCUAGUGAGAAUGAAGGAGGCUACAAUCCUAAACACUAUGCCUAAGGAGUAAACUCCGCUUUGUUUGGUGGAGCACUCUUCCAAGUAAAUAUGUUUAGGGUCAGAACACAUUGCUGCAACGCUAAGCACUUACUUGGAAACAAACUGGAUAAAGUAGGACUUACUUUUGAGUAAACAUACAAAUGAUCAAGCUGCAUAUGCUCAAACUGCUCCUAUUUUCUGUCCUGGGAAUUCACUGUCCCGCUGUAUCUUUGCUUUGGGAGGUUGUUAAAAGGUUGGUUUUGCAAGAUGCCAUGUCAUUCAAUUCCCUCUCAAGGAUCUUAACUUCAAGAUCCAACUCUGUGGAGUUGGAUGCAUAUGUAGUGUUUUAAAUUAACAUAAUUGUUUGUUCCAAUAGUCAUUUUGUGCACAGAUGUAGCAGUGGCCACCAACCUUGAAAACUUUAAAAGGGGAUUAGAAAAAAUCAAUGGCUAUCAAUGGCUGCUAGUCAUGAUGACUAUAUAUUACCACCAGUACCAGAUGAAGUAUGCUGGGAAUCAUGAGCGGGAGAGCACUAUUGUCCGUGCGUUCUGCUUGUAAGCUUCUCAUGGGCAUGUGAAAGGAGAACAGAACAGAAAGCUGAACUAGAUGGUCUCAUCCAGGAGGGCUCUUCUGAUAUUCUUAGUUAGUGAGUUAUAUAGAGAGAGGCAUUUGGUUUUUCAUACAGUGUCUCUGGAAAGGAAAUGGAAAUCACAUGUUUUCCCUUACCCAGGGGCAGCUGAGAUUUUAAUUAGCAUGGCCAAAUAACAGAUCAUUGUCUUUUCUAGCUUAAUUACGUUUUUCUUAAGGAAGGUAAAGAGAGCAGUCUCAGAGACAGAACCUUCACUUUCCCCCGCCCCACUCAAAGGCAAUCAUGACAUUGUCCUUAUUUAUGUUGAAUUUAAUUUAUUUAGGGAUGCAAUGAUGUGAUUAUUGCAUUGAAUGGGAGGUAUUAAUUGUAGUAAAAUUGAUUUCAAAGCAGGAUCGGAGUAAUCUGGAGAUAAAUUAAUUGACUAAGAAAAGAUCUAGCUGAUCUUGAGUGGACUGCAAAUUAUUUUAAGAAUUUUAGGAAUCAUUAGAUGGGAAGAUAGCUGACAUGCCUUUAAAUUCUAAUAAUUAUUUUAAAAUCUGCAUAUAUACAUAAAUAUUCAAACUUGUGUCUUCUUUUUAGCCUCGUUUUCACUGGUGCAUAUUAUAUCUUUUUUUGGCAUAAAGUUGCUACCAUAUCAGCUAAUCAAAUCAUGGAUUAUGGAGAAAGCAAUUUUUAAAAGACUACAAUGGUAAAAUGUGUACACAUCAAACCUGGAAUCAGCACCUGCCAUGACUGGACAAUGCUGGGCCCUGUGGCUCUUGCCAGUUGCUUGGCAUCACUUUUUAAAUGAAAACAAAACAAAAACAUUUAGAGCAGUAUCACAUACUCAGCCUAGCACUGUCAGAUAAAGUCCCAGCCUGUUUGGAAAGCCUGAAGUAUAACUGAGGCACAUCUGAGUGCCAGGAUAUUAUAUACACACACAUCAUAUACAUACAUACAAUGUAUUAUAUGUAUACAUACACUCAGGCUGCACUCAUAUCCAUUCUUACUCAGGAAAAAGUCCAACUGCACACAGUGAAAGAUGAAUAGGAUUGUGCUGUCAGGUUUUUACUUUCAUUAUUGUUUCACAACAAUGUCCUAUGACAGAUUCUUUUAACUACAGUGCUUUUGUACUUGGCUGCUGCAGUACAAAAGGCAGAGGAGGUAGAACCACCAAGCUGAAUACGAUACAGCUGUGCGGUGCUGGGCAAGACGAUGCGUUGCACAUAUGUCAUCACAGGCACGUGUCAUGCAUCAUGUGUAUGACAUGCCACUGUGCCCCCAAAUCAUCGACCCCAAGUGGCAACUCUGGUAGUUACUAUGAAAAAAAUCUUGUAAUUUAUAUCUUGUUCAGGAUGCAAUCUUGUACCAAUUCACCCGGAAAUAAACUUCACUGGACUUACUUUUGAGAAGGUGUCAUUGGAAC